This is a long non-coding RNA of Papio anubis (olive baboon), 5537 nucleotides long. The record is from Ensembl. NCBI's taxonomy places the organism in Eukaryota, Metazoa, Chordata, Mammalia, Primates, Cercopithecidae.
AUGCCCCGGUUCCCUCUGGCAACUCCCCGGCCGCCCGCCCGCCGUUGCCGUAGCAACGCCCGCCUCCGCGCUGGCUCUCCUCGCGCUUGCUUGCCAGCCCCGCCCUGCCCCAUACUGCGCAUGCUCGCCAGCCCCGCCCGGCCCACACUGCGCAUGCUUGCCUGCCACGCCCGGUCCACACCACAUUGCGCAUGCUCCCCGGCCUCCGCCCCGCGCCCGCCGUCAGCGUUGAGAGGCAGGCUUGCAGCAGGCGGUGCUGUUCACGCUCCUGAGCGGAGCCUUCCGGUGCUUUACUCGACGCCCCAAAUAGUGCGCUGUGCCUCCCAGGGACUGCCGCGAGCUGGAACUCUUCCCCGCCCCUGUGAGCUCGGGGCUGUUCUUUCUCCGGUUGGCUCACUCCAGCCUCGAUGUUUCCUCGCUGCCCAGACCUGCUCGGGAAGACUCGAGAAGGCCGCUCCAGGACUCCAGCUCUCCACGGAAGGGCUUCCCCUCGGAUUGCGUCUUGGCGCCUGGAACCCUCUCUCUGUAUCCUCUGCUGUUACUCUCUUGGCCUCCAUUUGGGUUGUGGCCUGGAAACUCCUGGCUCGCUGCUUCCCUUCUCUUAAGGAUCACAGCCCUGCACUGCCUGUCGUCCAAUGCCUGGAAACCAUUGUAUUUUGUGGUCUGAUUUUGUAGUAGUUUAAGAACUUAAAUCUGGUCCCUCACACUCCAUGACCAGAAGCAGAAAUCAGUAGAAGUUUGUUUUUUCUUAAAAUGACGAUUACUUUAUUGUGUUGGUUCAAUUUAUGUUGUACUUUAAUUAGAAGAAAUUUGGCUGAAAAUACAAAGAAAAUAUACAAAUGCAAGUAAUUUUUUUUUAAACUUCCCUGAAAGCAAGGUCUGAAGAAAUUACCAACCAACUUAGACUGGAUCUGGAAGAAAAGGAAGCAUCCUUGCAGUCUUAGGACUCUUCCAUUCCUCAACGUAGGUGUUAGGUUAACAGCCAUAAAUGGUUGUAAGACUUUGGGCUCAGAUAAGUAGACUUAAGUUCAAAUUUUGACUUAUUUUACAAGUAUCUGAUUUGUGGCAAGCUCAUCUUCCUAAACCAUGAGCUCCUUAUUUGUAAAGGGGACAUUAGCCACUCUCCAGCAACAGCCCUGGCGCUUCUUCAGUCCUGGGAUGGGUCGUAUGACUAGCCUAAGCAAACGAGACAAUCGAAGCCCCUGACCACAGCGACUUAAUCAGGGCUGGUGAUAUGUCUAGGUAGGCCAACCAGGUGGACUCAGUGUUUUUGUGGGUGCUACUGGAAAAUUUCUUCAAUUCGAACUGAAUGUGGAAAUGAGAACAGACAUGAAAUGGCGGCUGUGUUGCUGUCUUGUCAUCAUGAGGUGAGGGCCUGAAGCUAUGGUAGCCACCCUGUGUACCUUGGAAGGAGGAUUCUACAGGAACUGGCAGAGAUGAGACUGGGACGCAACCCAGUCCUGGUGACGUAUUUGAACCCUGAGGCUGGCCCGCUUGUUAGUCUUUUCACGUACUGGCUCCAGCCAGAGGGGUCUGGUUUUCUGUUACUUGCAACAGGAAGAAUUGGAAUGAUAACUAGGCAUGCUAUUACCGCCUUAUGGCUGUGGUGAGAUUAAAACAUGAUAUUGUGGGUGAACUGCUUAGUCCAGUGCCUGCUAUUCUUUAUAUUGGUUUUAAGGUAUUUUUCUUGAACUUCAUAAAGUUCUAAGAAAAAUUACCGUUUCAAAAUUCCUACCCUUUGUUCACAAGUUUUAAAUUUUCAUGAUAGUUUUCCUAUCUGCAUGUUUUCUAUUAAAAAUAAAUUGGUCAUUCUUCAGUUAGCUACAAAUAUUUUAAAUUUUUUAUUUUUAAAUUUAUUUUUUAUUGAUACAUAUUAGAAGAACGUGUUUUUGGAGUACAUGUGAUAAUUUGAUAAAUUCAUAUAAUCAAAUCAAGGUAAUUGUGAUAUCCAUCCCCUUAAAUAUUUACUGUCUAUUUACACUAGGAACAUUCAAGUUAUUCUAGCUAUUUUGAAAUGUGCAAUCGAUUUGUGUUAAGUAUAGGCUUGACGGAAAAUUUAACCUUAUUGCUUUCUAAUUCUUGACAAAAACAAAGCUAACAUAGUUGACAUUUGAAGAAUAAUACAUUCAUUCUUCUUCAAGAUGGUGUAUUCUGUCGAAAUGAGUUAGAUGAUCAGAAUGCAACAUUUUGGAUAGGGUUAAUUAAAAUAUAUAGUCAACCUGUCUUGUCCCCAAUACCGUGUCAUCAGUGAUUUAUAUUUUAACGUUAUGCCUUUGUUUUAAAAAGAUUUUUUUUGAGAUGGGCCUAAGAAACUGCAUGUAUACAAAGCAUGUUUGCAUCUUCAGAAAACUGCUAUUGAGUACAUUCCCCAUGGUGCUGUUCAUUGCCAUUUGUGUAGCCACCCACAUGAUUAUUUUAGAAUUUCAAAAUCAUUAAUUGAAUGUCCUAGGAAUAGUGGAGACGGAAGAGAAAAUUAGAGGUGCAUGAUGGUAAGGAUGACGAGGUUGUGCUUAGUCAUGAGGAGAAGGGUACCGGUGUGCUUGGCUGAUUAAGAUGCACUUCUGUACUCCACUGUGCUUAAGAAGAAAGCUGCAUGUGGUAACCGUAAGAGAUCUGUUGUAUAAACAUUGUCACAAAAAGAGUCAUGAGCAGCCCAAGAUGGAUGGCAAUAGUGGACUAUUUAAGUGGAAGACAUUGAUAUGAAGGGAAAGUCUUAUAUUUUGCUUGUGUAGAAGGCAAUUCAGACAAAGUGUUCAAAUACUAGAAUAGGCAGUUGGAGUCCAUCUUGUGGAGGUUGGGGUUUUUUUCAUGAUGACACUAGAGACACGUUAUUGGAGACUGGUGCUGGCACUGUAUGGAAUUUUUUUUUUUUUUUUUUUUUUUUUUUUGAGACAGCGUCUCUCUCUGUCGCCCAGGCUGGAGUGCAGUGGUGCCAUCUUGGCUCACUGCAACUUCUGCCUCCUAGGUUCAAGCAAUUCUCCUGUCUCAGCCUCCCGAGUAGCUGGGAUUAGAGGUGCCUGCCACCACGCUUGGCUAAUUUUUGUAUUUUUUAAUAGAGAUGGGGUUUCGCUAUAUUGGCCAGGCUGGUCUUGAACUUCUGACCUCAGGUGAUCCUCAUGCCUCGGCCUACCAAACUGCUGGGAUUACAGGCGUGAACCACCAUGCCCAGCCUAUGGAUUCUUAAUGUAUCACACCCAUGGGAUUUGAGUUUGCCCACCUGCCUAGUCUCUAAAUACUGCACUAAUGGAAGCCUAGGUAGGGUCAGAAUGGUUCUUAAUUCAAUAUCCUUCUCACAUUUUAAUAUCUUAAUGCUCUCACAUUUCUCCUUUGUUAUCUACUAAAUAUUCUCAAAACCUACUCAGUACAUAUUUGACUCUUGUCUUUCUUAACACAGUCGUUGACAUCUAAAACAAACCUAAGGAGCAAAAAUUGGUGGCAUGGGUUUCAUCUUUAAUUUAGCUUUCAAUUUUAACCUUCACCAAAAAUCAUCUCUCCUUCCAUUUAUUUAUCUUAAUCUUCAGUAUUACCUUUAACUUUCUACUCACACUUGUAUAUUUAUUACCAAUUUCUAUUCCUAAACUUGCUGAUGUGGUUUGGCUGUGUCACCACCCAAAUUUCACCUUGAAAUGUAGUAAUUAAUCCACAUGUGUCAAGGGCAGGGCCAGGUGGAGAGAAUUGGAUCAUGGGGACAGUUUCCCCCAUACUGUUCUUGUGAUAGUGAAUAAGUCUCACAAGAUCUGAUGGUUUUAUAAAUUGGAGUGGCCCUGCACAAGCUCUGUCUUGCCUGCUGCCAUGUAAGACCUGUCUUGCUUCCUGCUCGCUUUCCACAAUGAUUUUGAGACCUCACAGCCACGUGGAACUGUGAGUCAAUUAAACCUCUUUCCUUUACAAAUUACACAGUCCCGGGUGUGUCUUUAUUAGCAGCAUGAGAACAAACUAAUACACUUGUUUCCACUCAGAUUAUUUUUUCAAAGAAUUCUAAGUCACUUCCUGUUUUUUUUUUUUUUUUCUGUAUGUGAGGACCAGCAAUUGUUUGGAAAUUUGCCAGUCUCUCCUAGUGUUUUGUAGCAGCAGUUGCUGUAAAGUCUCAGGUAUACUAGUGGGAACUUACUGAAGUGUGUUUUUUCCUUGAGAUUAUAUUAUAGUUCUGUUUUGUCUUUAAUAAUGAAAAAGGGCUUAGGAUGAGUUGUUUCCACUCCUCUGACAAAGUGCAUUUAAAAAAAAUACUGUGACAGACAUAAGAUGAUUACGUCAUUCCUGUCAACAUUAAAAUAGUAGUAGAGAAACACUGAUGAAAACACUUCCGACCCUGGAGAAGAGAGGAGAAAUCUUGUUUUCAUUCUUACUCUAUAAUUUAAAGUCAUGGGUAUAACAAAUGAGCCUUUAAAAACUGUUUUCUGAAUUUAAAAAAUGGAGCAAAUUCAUUCUUUGUUGUUGAAUUCAAUAUACUUAGAAGCAAUUUAUCACUUUGGUAAAGAAUUAUGUCCUAUGCCUUAAUAUCUGACAUGAUGAAGAUAUUCAUGCUAUCUACACUGUGAUCACCAGAUACUAGCCACUUUAAAAAUGUUGCCAAAAGAAAUUAGGCAUACUGAUUGUAUCAAAGGUGUUUGGGUAAUGUGGACUCCUUUCAGACAUUUGUGAUUUUUCUGCCUUAACUGAAAGUUUUGACAGGUUUGUAAAAGCAUAAAUGUCAGGUUAUUAGUAGAAACUCUAAAAUAACCUAGGAAAUAAACAUAUAUACUGGUUUCAGCCAGUUUGGCUAAAGCUGGAUAUCUCUAAAAAUUGAAUCAGUUGAUGCUCUAAUAUGUUCAAUAUAUCAAGAGACAGGGUGUUUCCUGAUCACAUCUAGAUAAUUUUUUUUUUAAUUUAUUUAUUAUUAUUAUACUUUAAGUUGUAGGGUACAUGUGCAUAACGUGCAGGUUUGUUACAUAUGUAUACUUGUGCCAUGUUGGUGUGCUGCACCCAUCAACUCAUCAUUUACAUCAGGUAUAACUCCCAAUGCAAUCCCUCCCCCCUCCCCCCUCCCUAUGAUAGGCCCCGGUGUGUGAUGUUCCCCUUCCUGAGUCCAAGUGAUCUCAUUGUUCAGUUCCCACCUAUGAGUGAGAACAUGCGGUGUUUGGUUUUCUGUUCUUGUGAUAGUUUGCUAAGAAUGAUGGUUUCCAGCUGCAUCCAUGUCCCUACAAAGGACACAAACUCAUCCUUUUUUAUGGCUGCAUAGUAUUCCAUGGUGUAUAUGUGCCACAUUUUCUUAAUCCAAUCUGUCACUGAUGGACAUUUGGGUUGAUUCCAAGUCUUUGCUAUUGUGAAUAGUGCUGCAAUAAACAUACGUGUGCAUGUGUCUUUAUAGCAGCAUAAUUUAUAAUCCUUUGGGUAUAUCCCCAGUAAUGGGAUGGCUGGGUCAUAUGGUACAUCUAGUUCUAGAUCCUUGAGGAAUCGCCAUACUGUUUUCCAUAAUGAUUGAACUAGUUUACAAUCCCACCAACAGUGUAAAAGCGUUCCUAUUUCUCCACAUCCUCUCCAGCACCUGUUGUUUCCUG